This 72-nucleotide transfer RNA is filed under the name Dipodomys ordii (Ord's kangaroo rat). It matches the Rfam family "tRNA". From Rfam's summary of the family: Transfer RNA (tRNA) molecules are approximately 80 nucleotides in length. Lineage: Eukaryota; Metazoa; Chordata; Mammalia; Rodentia; Heteromyidae. The record is from Rfam by way of RNAcentral.
GUGAAUAUAGCUUAGUGGUAGAGUGCUUGCCUAGCAUGCAGGAAGCCCUAGGUUCAAUUCCUCAGUACCACA